UUAAAAUCUACCAAACUACAUUUUUUAAAUGAACUUUGUUCCUUGCAUUUUGUUAUUUUUCAUAUUCACUUUCGUGUUUCGUGUCGUAGUGGCGAUGCAAAGUGCAGAACACGUUAAUGUAUAGACAAGUCUCACGGGAUACGAAUAGUGUGAUUUGUCAAAAAUGGUCUAACCGCCACCGUGGUGUGGUGAAACUUUUAACAGAGUUGAUUACGCAAAUCGUCUUGUCACCCUGUUCUGGAAAUCGAAAUCUUUAAAAUUUUCCAGUUAAAUUUUCGGCAACUUAAACGUUAGCGGUUUGUAGCAUUCUUAUAAACUGUUUGUUGAAAUAAAUUUAUCAAAAUGGAAAAACACAAGAACUCCAAGCAAGAGCUAAUUUUAGCCGAGUUUAUGGAAUCUCAUCCAGAUUUGGCGAAGAAUUUUUCGAAGGGCGACAGAGUUGCUGUUGAGGAAAAGUGGAAAGAGCUAACGACGCACAGUGCGGCCGAUUCCCGAAA
Long non-coding RNA from Anastrepha ludens (Mexican fruit fly), 497 nucleotides. RefSeq lists it as uncharacterized. The transcript is spliced from 3 exons. Lineage: Eukaryota; Metazoa; Arthropoda; Insecta; Diptera; Tephritidae. The record is from RefSeq and is a predicted model, not a curated record.